UUGGAGGGCAAGUCUGGUGCCAGCAGUCGCGGUAAUUCCAGCUCCAAUAGCGUAUAUUAAAGUUGUUGCAGUUAAAAAGCUCGUAGUUGAAUUUCGGGGUCAGUAGAUUGGUCAUGCCACUGGUAUGUACUGGUCUCACUGAUUCCUCCUUCCUGAUGAGCCGUAAUGCCAUUAAUUUGGUGUUGCGAGGAAUCUGGACUGUUACUUUGAAAAAAUUAGAGUGUUUAAAGCAGGCUAACGCUUGAAUACAUUAGCGUGGAAUAAUGAAAUAGGACGUUCGAUCUUAUUUUGUUGGUUUCUAAGAUUGACGUAAUGAUUAAUAGGGAUAGUUGGGGGCAUUAGUAUUCAAUUGUCAGAGGUGAAAUUCUUGGAUUUAUUGAAGACUAACUACUGCGAAAGCAUUUGCCAAGGAUGUUUUCAUUAAUCAAGAACGAAAGUUAGGGGAUCGAAGACGAUCAGAUACCGUCGUAGUCUUAACCAUAAACUAUGCCGACUAGGGAUCGGAUGAUGUUAAUUUUUUAAUGACUCAUUCGGCGCCUUACGGGAAAC
RNAcentral lists this ribosomal RNA (549 nucleotides) under uncultured Glomus. RNAcentral describes it as "SSU rRNA". It matches the Rfam family "Eukaryotic small subunit ribosomal RNA", at positions 548 to 1098 of the family's 1831-position model. Lineage: Eukaryota; Fungi; Glomeromycota; Glomeromycetes; Glomerales; Glomeraceae. The record is from RNAcentral.